CGGAUCGGAGUCUGCAACCCGACUCCGUGAAGCUGGAUUCGCUAGUAAUCGCGCAUCAGCCAUGGCGCGGUGAAUACGUUCCCGGGCCUUGUACACACCGCCCGUCAAGCCAUGGGAGCCGGGGGGUGCUUGAAGUGCGUCGCCGCAAGGCGCGCCCUAGAGCAAAACCGGUGACUGGGGCUAAGUCGUAACAAGGUACC
Molecule: ribosomal RNA, 200 nt
Filed under: uncultured bacterium
Lineage: Bacteria
Description: partial 16S ribosomal RNA
Rfam family: Bacterial small subunit ribosomal RNA
Source: RNAcentral